AUGGGGGGCCUCCGUAAUGCAGUCGAGCGAAUCGAUGGGAGCUUGCUCCCUGAGAUUAGCGGCGGACGGGUGAGUAACACGUGGGCAACCUGCCUAUAAGACUGGGAUAACUUCGGGAAACCGGAGCUAAUACCGGAUACGUUCUUUUCUCGCAUGAGAGAAGAUGGAAAGACGGUUUACGCUGUCACUUAUAGAUGGGCCCGCGGCGCAUUAGCUAGUUGGUGAGGUAAUGGCUCACCAAGGCGACGAUGCGUAGCCGACCUGAGAGGGUGAUCGGCCACACUGGGACUGAGACACGGCCCAGACUCCUACGGGAGGCAGCAGUAGGGAAUCUUCCGCAAUGGACGAAAGUCUGACGGAGCAACGCCGCGUGAACGAAGAAGGCCUUCGGGUCGUAAAGUUCUGUUGUUAGGGAAGAACAAGUACCAGAGUAACUGCUGGUACCUUGACGGGACCUAACCAGAAAGCCACGGCUAGUUACCUGCACGCACCCCGCUGUACGGAGGUGGCC
This 511-nucleotide ribosomal RNA is filed under the name Peribacillus muralis. RNAcentral's name for it is "bacterial SSU rRNA". It matches the Rfam family "Bacterial small subunit ribosomal RNA", at positions 38 to 536 of the family's 1533-position model. Lineage: Bacteria; Bacillati; Bacillota; Bacilli; Caryophanales; Bacillaceae. The record is from RNAcentral.